RNAcentral lists this transfer RNA (83 nucleotides) under Pleurotus eryngii. RNAcentral's name for it is "tRNA-Gly". It matches the Rfam family "tRNA". From Rfam's summary of the family: Transfer RNA (tRNA) molecules are approximately 80 nucleotides in length. Their secondary structure includes four short double-helical elements and three loops (D, anti-codon, and T loops). Further hydrogen bonds mediate the characteristic L-shaped molecular structure. tRNAs have two regions of fundamental functional importance: the anti-codon, which is responsible for specific mRNA codon recognition, and the 3' end, to which the tRNAs corresponding amino acid is attached (by aminoacyl-tRNA synthetases). tRNAs cope with the degeneracy of the genetic code in two manners: having more than one tRNA (with a specific anti-codon) for a particular amino acid; and 'wobble' base-pairing, i.e. permitting non-standard base-pairing at the 3rd anti-codon position. Lineage: Eukaryota; Fungi; Basidiomycota; Agaricomycetes; Agaricales; Pleurotaceae. The record is from RNAcentral.
GCGUGGAUGGUGUAGCGGUAACAUUGGGUCUUCCCACUUUGUAGUGUUUGGCCUAGCUCCGGGUUCGACUCCCGGUUCACGCA